This 125-nucleotide transfer RNA is filed under the name Mytilinidion resinicola. RNAcentral describes it as "tRNA-Leu". It matches the Rfam family "tRNA". From Rfam's summary of the family: Transfer RNA (tRNA) molecules are approximately 80 nucleotides in length. The record is from RNAcentral. Lineage: Eukaryota; Fungi; Ascomycota; Dothideomycetes; Mytilinidiales; Mytilinidiaceae.
GCACUGUUGGUCCAGCGGUAGGAUUCUUGCCGUAAGAAUCCCAACUCACCAGUGCAAUAUAUUCCCUCUUACUAAUAUACAUUAGUUCCAAGCAAGAGGCUCGGGUUCGACUCCCGGACAGUGCA